This 529-nucleotide ribosomal RNA is filed under the name Carulaspis minima. RNAcentral's name for it is "eukaryotic LSU rRNA". The record is from RNAcentral. Lineage: Eukaryota; Metazoa; Arthropoda; Insecta; Hemiptera; Diaspididae. RNAcentral also lists the same sequence under 2 other names.
AUCUGGGCGGCGGAAUUCAGGAUGGCUGGCCGGGUCUCGCGCCCGUUCGGCCGUUUGAUAUUUCCGUCGCCGUUGCAGACGUCGCGACCUGUUCGUCGUCGGUCCUUGCUCGGAGGAAUCGCGUGCGAGUUCGUUGCGGGGCGUGUUUCGGCGCGUUCCGCGAUGAAGCCGCGGCUCUCUGGCUGACGACGGACAGUAAGCAACGGUGGCCGGCGCGGUGUCUCGCACUCCGCGUCGGUGCCGGUCAGCGACGAUUUCUUCGGGCCUCUUUCCGACCCGUCUUGAAACACGGACCAAGGAGUCUAACAUGCGCGCGAGUCGCGGGGUGUCGAGCGUGCCACGGUGCGCUCGUUACUUCCGAAACCCGUACGUUGAAGGCGUAAUGAAAGUGAACAGGGAAGAUGGCGUUCCGAGUCCACGAACUCUUGAGUAUCGCGGCCGGGCGCCCGCACUCCCGGGGCGUCUCAAUGGCUCGUCGCGGAUGCGGACGGUCGUUCUUCGGGGCGGCCGUCGGUCUGCGACGGACCGA